AUUAAGAGACGAUGAUAAUAUUUUUUUCUUGUUCCGAUAAUUUUAACAAACGCGAAACACCACCGCCCUUCCCUUCCCUUCCCUCACCAAAAGUAAUGGACGCUUAUGCACCAUCACCACGAUGACGAAGACGAAGAUGAAGAAGACGACGACGACGAUGACUACGAAAACGAACUAUAACGACGAACUAUGACGACGACGGGUAGUAAAAAUUUUUAUGUAUAGCCCUGCAAUAAGAAUCUUAACAACCGUGACGUUGUUUUUAUCCGUAGCUAAUUCAGUAGUAUAUAUGUACAUGUAUACAUAGGUUCACAUUCACCUCGAUACACACGUACAUACGCGACGUGUAUAUAUAGUGAUACAUAAAGUUGCAUCGGCCAUCAUGCUGCAGCAAAUCGAAAAGUUAAGAGCUCGCGGUCACCAUUUUUUGAUAUACGUACACCGAACAUUCGUAUGCGUACGUAUGUGUAUACAUAUUUAAUAUUAAUUUUUUAUUAUAUUUCACUUUACGU
This 512-nucleotide unclassified non-coding RNA is filed under the name Athalia rosae (coleseed sawfly). Its description in RNAcentral is "misc RNA ENSAEAG00005007972.1". Lineage: Eukaryota; Metazoa; Arthropoda; Insecta; Hymenoptera; Athaliidae. The record is from RNAcentral.